Molecule: long non-coding RNA, 422 nt
Filed under: Setaria viridis
Lineage: Eukaryota; Viridiplantae; Streptophyta; Magnoliopsida; Poales; Poaceae
Description: long non-coding RNA (SVIR_LNC011308)
Source: RNAcentral
AAUGAUGGAAAGGAAGGGCCAGGUGAGAGCUAUUCCUCGCGCUUACUUCUAGGAGGUGAUGGGCGAGCCCAUCGGGAUGUUUGGAUACAAGGUACUAAACUUUAGGAGGGGUCACAUCGAAUGUUCGGAUGCUAAUUAGGAGGACUAAACAUGAGCUAAUUAUAAAACUAACUGCAGAACCCCUAUACUAAUUCGCGAGACGAAUCUAUUAAGCCUAAUUAAUCCAUCAUUAGCAAAUGGUUACUGUAGCACCACAUUAUCAAAUCAUGGACUAAUUAGGCUUAAUAGAUUCGUCUCGCGAAUUAGACUCCAUCUGUGUAAUUAGUUUUGUAAUUAGACUAUAUUUAAUACUCCUAUAAUACUCCUAAUUAGUAUCCAAACAUCCGAUGUGACGGGUACUAAAUUAUGCGGUGUAUCCAAAC